This 305-nucleotide ribosomal RNA is filed under the name uncultured bacterium. RNAcentral describes it as "partial 16S ribosomal RNA". It matches the Rfam family "Bacterial small subunit ribosomal RNA", at positions 505 to 807 of the family's 1533-position model. The record is from RNAcentral.
ACAGCAGCAGCCGCGGUAAUACGAAGGGUGCAAGCGUUACUCGGUAUUACUGGGCGUAAAGCGUGCGUAGGUGGUGGUUUAAGUCCGUUGUGAAAGCCCUGGGCUCAACCUGGGAAUUGCAGUGGAUACUGGGUCACUAGAGUGUGGUAGAGGAUAGUGGAAUUUCCGGUGUAGCAGUGAAAUGCGUAGAGAUCGGAAGGAACAUCUGUGGCGAAGGCGACUAUCUGGGCCAACACUGACACUGAGGCACGAAAGCGUGGGGAGCAAACAGGAUUAGAUACCCCAGUAGUCCCUGUCUCUUAUAC